CUUUCUAAUUAUGGUUUAAUGGCUUAUGUGAAUGAAUUACAUUAUUGUUUAUGAUUUUGCAAGAUAGACGUUUGGGUUGUUAAAAACAGAAAUGUACUUAUUAAGUGGUCAAAAGCUGAAAAGGUACUCGUUAGCUUGCUAAUGUCUUGCUAACCUUUUUUCUUGGCAUAAGCAUUGGACUGUUCUAAAAUAGCUCAAAACAGCUCUGGCUGUCAACAUAAAAAUAGUGCAUGCUAACUCCUGCUCUUUUGUUAUAUGGCAGGAUAGAGGCAGGAAGUUUUUGUGUUUCUGCUGAACUAUAAAACACAAGAAUGAGAGCAAACUAUCCUUGAAUCAUAAAAAAAAUUCUGAAGCAAUAAAAUUGUUUAAACCGUAAACAAAAUGCUGCACGUCACUAGCAAUUCACAGUUUUUGUAUACUGUUGUCUUUCUGGCUUAAAUCCCAGGCUAUUUUUCUCCCCCUUAGGAGUUAUUUAGCACUGUGUGGUGAAUUUAACUGUAUAAAUGCUGAUGCAGUAUAUUAUAAUAUAAAUAUAAAUAAUGUAACUGGUAUAGUAGCUUCCUAGUUUUCUUCAAAUGUUGAAGUAAGUAAACCCAGAAUAGGGUGUCAAAAUAAAUGCGAAGCAGAUUUUUUCUCUAAAAUAAACCUAUGUUCAUAGGACAAAAAUUGAUACCCUAUGAGGAUUCACAGAAUUUUACAAACUAAAUAGAAAUCCAGAAUUCUACCAAAGAUUUCUGCACCAGAUGCCGUCUCAUAAUUCCUCUUACUAGUGGCUUCUUCAGAAUAAAUAAGUUGAUCAUUCAUUCUUAAGACAGUGACAAUUCCCAUAAAUCAGUGGGAGCUGAAAUAAAAGGUUCUAGAAGGCAGUUAGGCUGUUGCACAAUUGUUCUUGAACGCAAGGGCAGGAGAUUGACAGCUCUUGAAGUUUUAUUCAUUCAUUCUUCAUCAAGACAUCUUUUAAAGAUCUGGCACAGGUCAUCUUGAAUAUGUGUAUAAAUAUUAUAAUAAAUUAAGACCUGGCUACCAGCAGACCUAAACAUGGGCCCAAAGUAGGAAAAAACUGUUGCUCUUAGAAUGUUGAAUAUAUGGGGCCAGCGCCAUGGCUCACUUGGUUAAUCCUCCGCCUGCACUUCCGGCAUCCCAUAUGGGCGCCGGGUUCAAGUCGGGCUGCUCCUCUUCCAGUCCAGCUCUCUGCUAUGGCCUGGGAAAGCAGUGGAGGAUGGUGCAAGUGCUUGGGUGCCUGUACCCACGUGGGAGACCAGGAAGAAGCACCUGGCUCCUGGCUUUGGAUCUGCAUAGCUCCAGCCGUAGCAGCUAUCUGGGGAGUGAACCAAUGGAAAGAAGACCUUUCUCUCUAUCUUUCUCCCUCACUGUCUAACUCUAUCUGUCAAAUAAAUAAAUUUAAAAAAUUUAAAAAAAAAGAAUGUUGAAUAUAUAUUUUGUGACUGUGAAAAAAAGUGGAACAAGAAAGUAACAUUUAUUGAGUCUCUGUUAUGUGCUCAUCACUUUUGGAUAUGAAAUCUAAUGUCUGCCUAGCAGCUCUAGAAAGUUUGAACCACCCCUACUUUUCCAAGGUAAGUAGAACCUCAGAGAGAGUAGCAGAGUUGCUCAAAGUGAUACUGUUGGUGCCAGUAGAGUCAGAAUUUAAACCCAAGCCCAGUGCUAAAGACCCUGGUCUUCCCACAGUGUUCUGCCUUCUGGAAACCUUGGCAGAAGCACCCUUCCUUCUUCAGUCUGGGGGCAAGAAGGUGACGUGAAAUAGCCCCUUCACGGCAGGACAGAUGAGCCCAAAUCUUGAGACCAAUCUGUAUGUGAGGAAGUUGGAAGAAGUAAUAUGGUUAUGUAUUCUAAGGACUUAGCCCGAGUUGAGAUUUUCAGGUUGAAACUUUGACUAGUAGCUUGUAGCCACCUGAAGAAACUGGCCAGGGAAGACAUUUCUUCAUUCCAGAGUGAUGAUAGUUUAUACUGUUACAGAAGAAUUCAUGCUUAUUUCAAAGUUCAGCAACUUACAUUCCAUUUGAAAUGCUUUAGUAUAAUUAGAAUUUUUAUUCAUAGUAUAAAAAAUUGCUUUGCCACUUGUAUUAGGAUUAGAUUUUGAUUUUUCUUGGAUUCUUGGAUUUUUUUUAGAUUUAUUUAUUUGAAAGUCAUAAUUACAUAGAGGAGAGGCAGAGAGAGAGAGAGAAAGAGAGGGAAUUGUUCUUUUCUUCAGUUUUUAAACAAAGGAGUGGAAUUUGAGUAGUCUGUUUUUCCAAUGAAUUUGUUAGAAAGGCUUAUUUAGGGGAAUGGCAUUUCAUCUAAAUAUUUUCCCGUUGGGAUGACAGACUAAUUAUGGGAGCUGAGCUUAUUGUUUUGUAGUCACACCCCAUCAGCAUUUUGGGUUUCACAUAAAUGUUUGCUCAUCCUCACUCUUGCUACUAAUUACUGUCAUUUUUUUAAAAAGUUUAUUGGGGUACGGAUGGACUCACUGGCUUUCUUACAAUCCCAUGCUUUUUCUUUCAACAUUCCUUCCUUCUUAACAUGCUCUCCCUCAACAUGCUCAUACGAGGUGCUGUUGUGUGUCUCACUGUACAAGGCUCAACAGAUAAGAAACAAGAUAAUGAACCAUGUUCUUACCUUUGAGGACUAUCUAGUCUGUCAGGGGAGCAGAACCGCCAGUCUAAGAUCAGCCUAUUGGUACAGGUUCUGUGGAAGAAGUGUUGUGAGGGCAUUGUGGAGAAAUCGCAGUGGGUCGGUCAGUUCUACCUCCUUGUUGGGUUUGAGGUCCAGUGUGUGUUCUCACAGCUAACGUGAGCCUAGUGCUCCCUGGUAACCCAUGCUGAUAAACUGCUGUCACCUGUUAGACCCAGGGCCACUGUGCAUGGAAACUCUGUGUGUUGAUUGAAAAGAUCCAAGCAUAAAUGAUGAAAUGGAAAAGCCCAUUGCAAAACAGUGUACAUGGAAUGCUACCUUUGGUUAAAAUAAAGAGAGAAAAAAAUCAUCUUUCUAUAUUUAUCUAUUUCAUUCAUGUGUUUAAGUAACCAAACUCUAGAAGAAUAUACAGUAAACUAAUUUUACCAGCAAAUUUUUGUACAGGUUUGAGAGAACAGGGUAGGUAGCACAGAAGUGUGAGUGAGACUUUUCAAAUUGUUUACCUUUCUAUAUUUUUUGAUUAUAGGGCCAUGUGUGUGUGUGUGUGUGUGUGUAUAUAUAUAUAUAUAUAUAUAUAUAUAAGAUUUUUACUAUAUGUGAAAGGAACACUAGAAAAAGAUAGCACUUUUCUCUAAGUGAUGACUGUCCUGUGAUUGAGUGCCAAGUUUGGAAGUAACCAGAGGAGGUGGAGCAGAUCCAUUUGUUCUCUCAUUAUUCAGAGCUGCAGACUCUUGACCUGGGAUGCAAACUGAAGCAAAAUCAGACCCAGAUUAUUUUCUUAAAGUCUCACUGUUCACCUUAGAUAAAGAGGGGAAACUUCCCUCUGCUAGUACAGGAAUCCCGCAGGAGGCAAGUUUCAAUUGAGCAACUCACCCUCGUGAGCCCAUGGCACUUGUGUAAGUUCUUGGCAGAGCAUUCUGAUGAGAAACCAAACCCGUCUGUGGGUGUGUGUCCUUUACUUUUUUUAAAAGUAUGCAUCUUGAAACUUUCAAACGUUUCUCUUUUUCCUUUUUUAAAAAAUCUGUGUAAGGCCGGCGCCGCGGCUCACUAGGCUAAUCCUCCGCCUAGCGGCGCCGGCACACCGGGUUCUAGUCCCGGUCGGGGCACCGGAUUCUGUCCCGGUUGCCCCUCUUCCAGGCCAGCCCUCUGCUGUGGCCAGGGAGUGCAGUGGAGGAUGGCCCAGGUGCUUGGGCCCUGCACCCCAUGGGAGACCAGGAGAAGCACCUGGCUCCUGCCUUCGGAUCAGCACGGUGCGCCGGCCGGCCAUUGGAGGGUGAACCAACGGCAAAGGAAGACCUUUCUCUCUGUCUCUCUCUCUCACUGUCCACUCUGCCUGUCAAAAAAAAAAAAAAAAAAAAAAAAAAAAAAAAAAAAAUCUGUGUAUCCUGCAGAAGCCAGCUCACCGUUCACAGUAGGUGUCUGGUUAACAUAGGUGGAGGUGGCAUGGACCUCACCAGACCAAGGCCCUCUACAGUGUCAGCACAGAUUGCAUUUACAUGUGUUCAUUGCUGCCUCCAAAAGUACAUGUUUGCAGCACAAAGACAGCGAUUCAGAGUUGCAGGAGUUGGAGGUUGGCUUUCUGGCAGCACACCCUGCUAGGUGUUCUCAUGUAGGGACAGGGGAACAGUCCCCUCGCUGUCAGUCUCACAAGGCUAGUACUGUAGGCACUAGUUCCCUGGAUAAUGUCUUCAUUAUAUCACUCGUUAUAUUACGUGCCCAGAGGAGUUACAGGGCAAGUUGCCACACAAAAUCGUCUACCUGGAUGGUCUCUGACUAAGCGCUGGUGACUGAAUAACAGAUUUUGGGCUGUUGCUUUAGCCUGUCCAGGGUUAUUCAUCUUUUCUGGGUCACUCAUGAGACGAUACAAAUUGGUUCUCAGACUCUGAAUUAUUCUCCCCGCAUACAGAGAUAGAUAAAUUACCAUCUGCCUUUUGGGCCCUGGUGUUUUCAUAGGUAAAACCAGUCAAUUGGAUCAGUCUUAACAUUUGGAUGAAUAGAUGUUUUCUCUUUGCCUGUGUAUUGUUUAACUGACAGAGUAAUGUGUUUAACCAUGUUUACCUUUCAAAAUAUACCAUUUUAAGUAAGAGCAAGUGACCUUGUUGGUAAGCUGGAGGCUGAAAUUUCUUUUUUCAAUGAUUUAUUUGAAAGGCACAGUUAUAGAGAGAGAAAUAAAGAUCUUCCAUCCGUUGGUUCAUUUCCCAAAUGGCCAUGAUGGCUGGGGCUUAGCCAGAAUGAACUAGGAGCCAGGAGCUUCUUCUGGGUUUCCAUAUGGAUGCAGGUGCCCAAGCACUUGGGCCAUCCUCUGCUGGUUUCCCCAGGCACAUUAGCAGGGAGCUGGAUCAGAAGUGGAGUAGCUGGGUCUUGAACUAUCAUUCUGGUGGGAUGCUGGUGUAGCAGGAGGCGGCUUUUACCUGCUAAGCCACAAUGCUGGCCCCUGGAGUGUGUAAUUUUAUCAUCAUACAUAGGUUUUAUCUGUGUGGCAGAGCCUACUGAAAGGUAGUGAGGAUACCUGGGCUCCAGUUCCUACUGUGCCAGGAGCAGGGGACAGAGCAGGAGGGGUUGUGGCAGAUGGUUAUAGUAGUGAAGUGUGGGGUGGGUAGCAGCAUCCCUGGCUUCGUGAACUCAUCUAAUUUUCCCAAGGUAGAGAGAGAAUCAAGAUGAUUGUUUAUACCACGGACAGUCUCUCUGCCUUACUAAGUUGCCUAGCAGUUUACUUUUGGAAGAGGAUUCAGUUUUUUUUCCUCAAUGGUUUUUUGGAGAAGAAUUUAAAAAAUGGAAUGAUAACUUUCACCCAGUUAUAUUUCUUUACCAUUAUGUUCAAAGAUGACAUGGUUUGCUUUUAGACUUUACGGUAAACAAGGAGGCCUCAAAACACUAAAAAAAAAAAGUCUUAGUUGACACUGGGAAUUCAGAUUUCAAGUUGAUGACUCCCUGCUUAGCAGGUUCUCCUGGAAGUGGGACUGGUUGCACCUAAGACUGAAGUAUACAUUGAGGAUAUCAUGCUUUUUACUAGAGUAAGGGCAGUACACUGGUGCUAAUGUUAUCCUAUGCCUCUCAUAGACAUUGCCUAGAAGUCACAAUACUGGAUAACCUUAUUGCUAAACCUAGAUGUGGCCUCUGUCUGUUUACCAAGUCGGUGGUCUUGACAGCUAGAAUCAAACCGUUGGCGCUGGUAGCAAAGAUACAGUCUGAUUGCAACUCUGGACUAGAUAUUAGUUAGUUAUUGAUUAUAUAGUUUUAGUGCCUAAUCUUGCUCAAGUAACUCUCUCUCUUAAUUUCCUUAACCUAGGCAACUAAAGAGCAAACAUUUAAAAAUUGUCCUUUUUAUCCAAGUAUUUUCAUUUAGCUAAAAAUCUUAUUCACACCUGACAUCUAGUUACAGAAGUUGUAGGCCCGAAUAGCCUUUGACCUUUGCUUCUGUGACCUUCUCUGCAGGCUGCAGUGUGUCCAUGGCCUGCGGUAGAGCUCUAUGCUACCAGUACUUUCCGAAAGAAGCCACAUCUGUAUGCUCAGUCCGCAAACACAGACUCCUUUCGGAUGUGACUAAGUUUUCAGGCCUGGGGCAGAACCUGCUUAGUCCUGUGCUGCACACAGAAUGACCAGGCAGGUCAUUCUUUCCGCAGUGGCCCUUUACCAGAACUUUCCCCAGAGGAAGAUGUUUUAAUUCUUUUUUUACACGUGCUCUGUGCCUUAUGCAUUUCCUAUUUGCUAUGGUUGCAUAUGAUAUAGCUCCUGAACUUAUAGAAGCUUAAGUCUCAAAACAUGGAUUGCUGAUUUUAAAAGGGUGGCGGCUUGGUCUAGGAGGUGGCCCACUGUGAGGACCUGUAGUCACUGGAAAGUAGUUCUCAUGGGAGGGUUGGUUAUGAAGCCGGAGCCAGGCCUGGCUGCUCGCGCCUGGUGUCCUGGCUCACCACAUGAGCGUUCCUUCACACACGCUCCCACCAUUGCCGUGUUCAGGCCACGGGGCCCUCCCCAUCUUGGACCAUGAACCUCUAAAGCUGUAAGCUGAGCACCUCUUUUCUCUUCUUAAAUGCUUCCUCUCUGAUAUCCUAGUGACAGAAAGACUCGCUGGCAGAUCUGCCCUGAGCGGUAACAGUAGUGGAAGCUCUGGUGGACAUUCUGUAAGUCCUGUAUACCUGUAAAGUGUCUGCGUUUUGUUCUUAGUUGCUCCUUAGAGAGGGCUUAUGGCACACUCUGCCUUCUACCUUUGUCAUAGAGAAAGAGGCCCCUACAGGUCAAUAUUACAGCCUCACAGAAAGUUAAAGGCACAGGUGGAACUGCUCUUUGCUCUCUGAUCUGGUGACUGUAACGCUGUGGAACCAUCAAGGAAACAACUCGAGAGUGUGUUGCUUUGCCUUUGUUUUUUGCAGGUGGCACAUAUGGAAAGGCUCUUGAUUGUGGAGCUGGACAGGCACUGAGAAGCUAGAAUAAUUUUGCUAAGUUACUUGACAUUUCUGAGUGUGGCACGUAAGACGCAGUAGAUUUUAAAGAAUUUUUUUCUGCUGUCUUUAUGGCAGGGAGAGUAGGCUCCUUUGUACUGUAGGGGCAGUUGUGUCAUAUUUAUCCUACAGCCAGACCUGCACGUGGCUGCUGCUGGUCCUGUGGCAGCCAAAGAUCUAUGCCCAUGGCAGUGAAGAGGAUGAGCUGGCUGCUUGUGCCACUGUCGGCUUCUGCCAGAGACAGCCCAAUACUUAGGGAAAGGAAAAACCACCUUUUGAGAAUUAUUUUCCUAUUUUUAAAUCUUAUAUAAAUGGAAUCAUAUCAAUGAGAUCUAUUCCUAAAAAUGGCCCAAGUCCUUGGGCCCCUGUGCCCAUGUAGGAGAACUGGACAAAGCUCCUGGCUCCUGGCUUUGGCCUGGCGCAGCCCUGUCUGUUGGCAGCCAUUUGGGGAAUGAACUAAUGGAUGGAAGAGCUCUCUCUUCAUCUCUCUCUCUGUAACUCUGACUUUCAAAAUAAAUAAAUUAAAAAAAAAAAAAAAGAAAACGAGGGAGAUAUUUAGAGCUUCAGUGGCUUUGGAAUACAUGAAUAGCUUAUCCAAGAUAGGAGAAUGAGUUAGAGUUGGAGGAAAGUUAUUAGACUUGAGAUUCCUGUGAUGUGUUUUAGCUCAGGUAAAAUAAAGUCUCUGCCUUUCAAGCUGAUCUAACAUUCAUGUCACCAUUGAACAAAGCAUACAGAUGGCCACAUCCAUACACAUACUUAGUCACUUACCUGAUAAAAAGAGCACCUAAUGUUCGGGAUGUGCAACUUAGGUUUUUAUUUGAACUUUCCUAGAGAAGCAUCAUUUGAGAUAGGUUUAUAUUUCAAAUCAAGUAUUGAAUGGUCUUUCAAAUCUUAGCCAUUGUAGAAGUCACAGGAGAGGACUUAUUUUCCUACCUUAAACUACUGGAGAACCAACCAUGUAUGAAACAACAUAGGAUGAGACUAGAAAGCUGUAACAAAGAUCCAGUUGGAAUUUUUGAGGAAGAAAAAUAUAAUAUCUGAAUUAAAAAAUAAAGCAGAAGGCAUUUGAAGAUUAGACACUGAAGAGAGAGUAGAUAGUAAUAGAAGAUAUCCAGGAUGAAGCAUAUAGAGAUAAAAAGACUGUGAAACAACUGAACAGAAUUUUUGUGACCUGUGAGACACCAUCAAGAGGUCAAACACACGUGUAGUUACAGUUCCUGGAAGGGAAGAUAGCAGAAAACAUUUUACCCAAAUUUUAUGAAAAUUCUAAACCCACACAUACAAGGAGUGCAGUGAAUUUUAAGUAGCAUACACAUAAAGGAAACUAUACCAUAAAGAAGGACAUUUCUUGAUGACAAAAGGGUACAUUCACCAAGAGGGCAUAGCAAGCUUAAAUAUAUUAUUCUUGAUUAGCUCUAAAAUAUGUGAAGCUGAAACUUAUCAAACAGAAGGGAAAAGUAGACCAACCCACAAUUGUGUCUGGGAUCUUAGCAUUCUUCUCUCAGUAAUUGAUAAAACCACCAAACUGAAUGUUGGUGAGGACAAAGAAGAAGGGAUUAACAAAUUAACACUUUCAAAAUUGAUGUAACAGAACACUGUACCGAACAUCAACACCAACAGAAUAUACCUCCUUUUCAAGUACACAUUGAAUGGAACAUUUACCAAUACAAAUCUUGAUAAUUUGAAAGAAUUGAAGUCAGAACAGAAUUAAAAUAUAAUAACGAUAGUUGGAAAAUCCCCCAAAUCUGCCAGUAACGCACUUCUAAAUAACUCAUAGAAGAAAAAAGUCACAGUAAAUAUUUUGAACUGAAUGAAAAGUAAAAUGCAACACAGAAAAAUUUGUGGGAUGCAGAUAAAGCAAUGCUUAGAGGGAAAUCCAUAUCUUAAUUAAAUGCUUCUGUUAGAAAAGAAGAAAGCUCUAGAAUCAGUGAUGUUAACCUAGAGGCUUAGACUUAACAGUCUGGAAAAGUAAGAGAAAAUUAAAUGCAAAGUAAACAUAGGAAGGUAAGAGAAAAGCAAAAAACUAAUGAAAUAAAAACAAACUAAAAGCUGCCUUUUUUUUUAGAUUAAUAAAAUUGCUAAACUAGCCAACUGAUCAGGUAAAAAAAGUGAGAAUACACAAAUACCCUCUCUCAGGAAUUAAAGACAGACAUCAUUACAGAGCCACAUAAGUUAGAAUGAUAAGAAAAUAGUAUUACCAAGGUUACGUUAUUUUACUUGACAGCUGAGAUGAAACAAAUUCUUAAAAAAGACAAACUAUGAAAGCUCACUUAAGAUGAAAUAGGUAACAAGAAUAUCCCUCUUCCAGGGGUGAGUUUUUGGCCUAGAGGUUAAGACCACUGUUAAUACACCUGGUCCCAUAUUGAAGUGCCUGGGUUUGAAUUCUGGCUUUACUCCCAGUUUUAGCUUCCUGCUAAAGUGAACUGUGGGAGACAGCAGGUGAUGGCUCAAGUAGUUGGGCCCCUACCGACACAUAUAUGAGGCCUGGAUUGACAUCUUGGCUUCUAGCUUCCGUGUGGCCCAGCCCAGUGAUCAGAGUCAUUUGGGGAGUGAACCAGCAAAUGUGAUCUGUCUGUGUAUGUCUUUCUCUCUCUUUCUCUCUGCCUCUCUCUUGAAAAAAAAAAAAAAAACUCUCUAUAAAAUAAUUAACAGACAUUUUUUAAUGAAAAUUAAUUAAAGCCCUAAUUAAUAAUGGGGUUAUUUAACAAUAGUCCUAUUUUCUAUUAAGGAAAUUGAAUUUGUAGUUAAAAACUUUCCCAGAAAGAAAACUUCAGGCUAUGAUUGUUUCACUAGAGAAUACUUCAAAUAUUUCAAGAAGUAAUACUAGUUCUAUGUAAAUUCUUGCAGAAAAUAGAAGAGAACACAUCUCAGCUGGUUUAUAUGGCCAGCCUUACUCUCUUUCAAAAGCUGACAAAAAUAUUACAAAGGAGGAAAAACCAUAGUCUAACAAUAUAUAAAGAAGGGACCAUACCAUGACUAAGUUGUUUUAUCCCAGAAAUUAAGGAUCAAAUCCUACUUGAUUUUAAGACUUCCUGUAGGCCGGCGCUGCGGCUCAAUAGGCUAAUCCUCCACCUAGCGGCGCCAGCACACUGGGUUCUAGUCCUGGUUGGGGCGCUGGAUUCUUUCCUGGUUGCCCCUUUUCCAGGCCAGCUCUCUGCUGUGGCCCGGGAAGGCAGUGGAGGAUGGCCCAAGUGCCUGGGCCCUGCACCUGCAUGGGAGACCAGGAGAAGCACCUGGCUCCUGCCUUCGGAUCAGCGUGGUGCGCCAGCCAUGGUGGCCAUUGGAGGGUGAACCAACGGCAAAAGGAAGACCUUUCUCUCUGUCUUCUCUCUCUCACUAUCCACUCUGCCUGUCAAAAAAAAAAAAAAAAAAAAAAAGAC
This is a non-coding RNA of Oryctolagus cuniculus (rabbit), 10447 nucleotides long. Lineage: Eukaryota; Metazoa; Chordata; Mammalia; Lagomorpha; Leporidae. The record is from RefSeq and is a predicted model, not a curated record.